Molecule: ribosomal RNA, 597 nt
Filed under: Pseudopenicillium giganteum
Lineage: Eukaryota; Fungi; Ascomycota; Eurotiomycetes; Eurotiales; Aspergillaceae
Description: eukaryotic LSU rRNA
Rfam family: Eukaryotic large subunit ribosomal RNA
Source: RNAcentral
AGCAUAUCAAUAAGCGGAGGAAAAGAAACCAACCGGGAUUGCCUCAGUAACGGCGAGUGAAGCGGCAAGAGCUCAAAUUUGAAAGCUGGCCCCUUCGGGGUCCGCAUUGUAAUUUGCAGAGGAUGCUUCGGAUAUGGCCCCCGUCUAAGUGCCCUGGAACGGGCCGUCGGAGAGGGUGAGAAUCCCGUCUGGGACGGGGUGUCCGUGUCCGUGUGAAGCUCCUUCGACGAGUCGAGUUGUUUGGGAAUGCAGCUCUAAAUGGGUGGUAAAUUUCAUCUAAAGCUAAAUACUGGCCGGAGACCGAUAGCGCACAAGUAGAGUGAUCGAAAGAUGAAAAGCACUUUGAAAAGAGAGUUAAAAAGCACGUGAAAUUGUUGAAAGGGAAGCGCUUGCGACCAGACUCGCCUGCGGGGUUCAGCCGGGAUUCGUCCCGGUGUACUUCCCCGUAGGCGGGCCAGCGUCGGUUUGGGCGGCCGGUCAAAGGCCUCCGGAAUGUAUCGCCCCCCGGGGCGUCUUAUAGCCGGAGGUGCAAUGCGGCCUGCCUGGACCGAGGAACGCGCUUCGGCACGGACGCUGGCAUAAUGGUCGUAAGCGACC